CCGAUCGGAUUUCCGGUACGGAUCGGGUAGUGUAGUGUCACCCGAAACUACAACAACAGCAAACUGUCAUGGCGGCUCCCACAAGGCUCAUCUCAAGGUUGACGCUGAUCACCGGUGGAGGCAGUGGGAUCGGGCGGGCGGUGUGCCAGCGUUUCGCCUCUGAGGGCGCCUCCGUGGUGGUCGCCGACAUCAGCGAGGAGUCGGCCAAUGAGACGCUGGGGAGUCUGCAGAGCGACCUCAGAGGGCAGGUCCACACGGCGGCUGUGGUGGACGUGUCGUCUAAAGAGAGCAUCAAGAAGCUGUUAACGAGCUUGCAGACUCGGUACUUCCAGCCUCCCUCGGUGUGUGUGAAUGCAGCCGGCAUCGCUCAGGACGACUUCCUGCUCAACAUGGAGGAGGAGCAGUUUGAUAAAGUCAUCCAGAUCAACCUGAAGGGUUCAUUCUUGAUCACUCAGGCGGUUGCUCAGGCUCUGGUGGCCUGUGGAGCGCCCAAAGGAUCCAUCAUUACUGUGGGCAGCAUCGUGGGAAAGGUAGGAAACAUCGGUGAGGCUGGCUACGCUGCCUCUAAAGCCGGAGUGGAGGGUUUAACCAGGACCGCCGCCAAAGAGCUCAGCGGGUUUGGGAUUCGCUGUAACUGCGUGCUGCCGGGGUUCAUUACGACUCCGAUGACAGAUAAAGUGCCAGAGAAGGUUGUUAGCGAGGUACAACACGCACACACACACACAGAUCGAGUCCUUGGUGCCUCUGGGAAGGGUAGGCGAGCCGGCGGAGGUCGCUGAUGUCUGCGCCUUCCUCGCCUCGGACGACUCUCAGUACAUCACCGGAGCCAGCAUCGAAGUGACAGGCGGACUUUUCAUGGGUUAAAUCAGCCGUCCGGCGAGCACGUGACUGAAGACUGUGAGACUAGUUUCUACGUAAUUAUUAUUUUUUGACUCUGAUUUUGAUUUUGUGAAUGUUUUUGUAAUUUUGAUGUGAACCUGUCACAUGUUGUCUUAAUAAACACUAGAAUGUAAUGUUGAAUCUGAAUGAAGCUUUAAAAAAAGUUUUCACAUGUUUGUGUGUUUUUGGGGCACAGCUGGUUUGAAGCAGCUACUUUUGAGUUACAGGCAUGUUUUAGUUUUUAGUGUCUCCACACCAUCAUCACCACCAGAGCC
This is an RNA transcript of Pelmatolapia mariae (spotted tilapia), 1154 nucleotides long. It is a transcript of the gene named estradiol 17-beta-dehydrogenase 8-like, with no coding region annotated. The transcript is spliced from 9 exons. The record is from RefSeq and is a predicted model, not a curated record. NCBI's taxonomy places the organism in Eukaryota, Metazoa, Chordata, Actinopteri, Cichliformes, Cichlidae.